This 376-nucleotide ribosomal RNA is filed under the name uncultured Glomeromycotina. Its description in RNAcentral is "LSU rRNA". The record is from RNAcentral. Lineage: Eukaryota; Fungi; Glomeromycota.
UUGAAAGGGAAACGAUUGAAGUCAGUCGUACCAGCGGGAAAUCAACCUUUCGAGUGGGGGUUUUGGAGUUUUUGAAGAGUGUCAAAACCUUUGAGAUUUCAAAAUAUUCGCUCUUUUGGUGUACUUUCUCGUGGGUAGGUUAACAUCGAUUUUGAUCAUCAUAAAAAGAUUGGAGGAAUGUAGCUUCGAUCUUGUAUUGAAGUGUUAUAGCCUUUGGUAAAUGUGAUGAUUAGGAUCGAGGAUUGCAACGAAUACCCUUUUGGGCUAUCCGCCUGAUCUCUGAUACGUGGCCUUGGUAUCGAAAGCGUGCUUAUGGUAUUGAGGUAUUACGGUCAAAAGGUUAGAACGGAUUACAUUCGUUAAGGAUGUUGACGUA